RNAcentral lists this ribosomal RNA (1069 nucleotides) under uncultured Aeromonadales bacterium. RNAcentral describes it as "bacterial SSU rRNA". It matches the Rfam family "Bacterial small subunit ribosomal RNA", at positions 336 to 1397 of the family's 1533-position model. Lineage: Bacteria; Pseudomonadati; Pseudomonadota; Gammaproteobacteria; Aeromonadales. The record is from RNAcentral.
CUCCUACGGGAGGCAGCAGUGGGGAAUCUUGGACAAUGGGCGCAAGCCUGAUCCAGCAAUGCCGCGUGCGUGAAGAAGGCCUUCGGGUUGUAAAGCGCUUUUGUUCGGGAGGAAAUCCUAGUGGCUAAUAUCCAUUGGGGAUGACAGUACCGGAAGAAUAAGCACCGGCUAACUCUGUGCCAGCAGCCGCGGUAAUACAGAGGGUGCGAGCGUUAAUCGGAUUUACUGGGCGUAAAGCGUACGUAGGCGGCUUUUUAAGUCGGAUGUGAAAUCCCUGAGCUUAACUUAGGAAUUGCAUUCGAUACUGGGAAGCUAGAGUAUGGGAGAGGAUGGCAGAAUUCCAGGUGUAGCGGUGAAAUGCGUAGAGAUCUGGAGGAAUACCGAUGGCGAAGGCAGCCAUCUGGCCUAAUACUGACGCUGAGGUACGAAAGCAUGGGGAGCAAACAGGAUUAGAUACCCUGGUAGUCCACGCCGUAAACGAUGUCGAUUUGGAGGCUGUGUCCUUGAGACGUGGCUUCCGGAGCUAACGCGUUAAAUCGACCGCCUGGGGAGUACGGCCGCAAGGUUAAAACUCAAAUGAAUUGACGGGGGCCCGCACAAGCGGUGGAGCAUGUGGUUUAAUUCGAUGCAACGCGAAGAACCUUACCUGGCCUUGACAUGUCUGGAAUCCUGCAGAGAUGCGGGAGUGCCUUCGGGAAUCAGAACACAGGUGCUGCAUGGCUGUCGUCAGCUCGUGUCGUGAGAUGUUGGGUUAAGUCCCGUAACGAGCGCAACCCUUGUCCUUAGUUACCAGCACGUUAUGGUGGGCACUCUAAGGAGACUGCCGGUGACAAACCGGAGGAAGGUGGGGAUGACGUCAAGUCAUCAUGGCCCUUACGGCCUGGGCUACACACGUGCUACAAUGGUCGGUACAGAGGGUUGCCAAGCCGCGAGGUGGAGCUAAUCUCACAAAACCGAUCAUAGUCCGGAUCGCAGUCUGCAACUCGACUGCGUGAAGUCGGAAUCGCUAGUAAUCGCAAAUCAGAAUGUUGCGGUGAAUACGUUCCCGGGCCUUGUACACACCGCCCGU